ACGGGAGGCAGCAGUGGGGAAUAUUGCACAAUGGGGGAAGCCCUGAUGCAGCGACGCCGCGUGAGUGAAGAAGUAUUUCGGUAUGUAAAGCUCUAUCAGCAGGGAAGAAAAUGACGGUACCUGACUAAGAAGCCCCGGCUAACUACGUGCCAGCAGCCGCGGUAAUACGUAGGGGGCAAGCGUUAUCCGGAUUUACUGGGUGUAAAGGGAGCGUAGACGGUAUGGCAAGUCUGAUGUGAAAGGUGGGGGCUCAACCCCCAAACUGCAUUGGAAACUGUCAAACUCGAGUGCCGGAGAGGUAAGCGGAAUUCCUAGUGUAGCGGUGAAAUGCGUAGAUAUUAGGAGGAACACCAGUGGCGAAGGCGGCUUGCUGGACGACAACUGACGCUGAGGCGCGAAAGCGUGGGGAGCAAACAGGAUUAGAUACCCUGGUA
Molecule: ribosomal RNA, 434 nt
Filed under: uncultured Clostridium sp.
Lineage: Bacteria; Bacillati; Bacillota; Clostridia; Eubacteriales; Clostridiaceae
Description: partial 16S ribosomal RNA
Rfam family: Bacterial small subunit ribosomal RNA
Source: RNAcentral